This 472-nucleotide ribosomal RNA is filed under the name uncultured bacterium. RNAcentral's name for it is "bacterial SSU rRNA". It matches the Rfam family "Bacterial small subunit ribosomal RNA", at positions 28 to 502 of the family's 1533-position model. The record is from RNAcentral.
GAUGAACGCUAGCGGCAGGCUUAACACAUGCAAGUCGAGGGGUAUAGUAGCAAUACUAGAGACCGGCGCACGGGUGCGUAACGCGUAUGCAAUCUACCUUUUGCAGAGGGAUAGCCCAGAGAAAUUUGGAUUAAUACCUCAUAGUAUAGAACAAUCGCAUGAUUGAGCUAUUAAAGUCACAACGGCAAAAGAUGAGCAUGCGUCCCAUUAGUUAGUUGGUAAGGUAACGGCUUACCAAGACUACGAUGGUAGGGGUCCUGAGAGGGAGAUCCCCCCACACUGGUACUGAGACACGGACCAGACUCCUACGGGAGGCAGCAGUGAGGAAUAUUGGACAAUGGGCGCAAGACCUGAUCCAGCCAUGCCGCGUGCAGGAUGACGGUCCUAUGGAUUGUAAACUGCUUUUGUACAGGAAGAACACCUCUACGUGUAGAGUACUUGACGGUACUGUAAGAAUAAGGAUCGGCUAACU